RNAcentral lists this ribosomal RNA (497 nucleotides) under uncultured bacterium. Its description in RNAcentral is "partial 16S ribosomal RNA". It matches the Rfam family "Bacterial small subunit ribosomal RNA", at positions 28 to 507 of the family's 1533-position model. The record is from RNAcentral.
GAUGAACGCUGGCGGCGUGCCUAAUACAUGCAAGUCGAGCGAACAGACGAGGAGCUUGCUCCUCUGACGUUAGCGGCGGACGGGUGAGUAACACGUGGAUAACCUACCUAUAAGACUGGGAUAACUUCGGGAAACCGGAGCUAAUACCGGAUAAUAUAUUGAACCGCAUGGUUCAAUAGUGAAAGACGGUUUUGCUGUCACUUAUAGAUGGAUCCGCGCCGCAUUAGCUAGUUGGUAAGGUAACGGCUUACCAAGGCGACGAUGCGUAGCCGACCUGAGAGGGUGAUCCGCCCCCCUGGAACCGGGACCCGGUCCAAACUCCUCCGGGAGGCACCAGUAGGGAAUCUUCCCCCAUGGGCGGAAGCCUUACCGGGCCACCCCCCGGGGGGUAUUAAGGGUUUCCGGUCCUAAAACCUUUUUUUUUGGGGAAAACCAAAUUUUUAAUUAACUUUCCCCUUUUUACCGUUCCCUAUCCAAAAACCCCCGCUUACCUCCUG